GCCUACGGCCAUACCACCCUGAACACACCCAAUCUCAUCUGAUCUCGGAAGCUAAGCAGGGUUGGGCCUGGUUAGUACUUGGAAGGGAAACUGGAGUUUACAGGAAACAGGACACGUGGCCA
Molecule: ribosomal RNA, 122 nt
Organism: Ochotona princeps (American pika)
Lineage: Eukaryota; Metazoa; Chordata; Mammalia; Lagomorpha; Ochotonidae
Source: Ensembl